CCUACGGGUGGCAGCAGUGAGGAAUAUUGGUCAAUGGGCGGGAGCCUGAACCAGCCAAGUCGCGUGAGGGAAGACGGUCCUAUGGAUUGUAAACCUCUUUAGGCGGGGAGCAAUGCCGGGCACGCGUGCCCGGAGGGAGAGUACCCGCAGAAUAAGCAUCGACUAACUCCGUGCCAGCAGCCGCGGUAAUACGGAGGAUGCGAGCGUUAUCCGGAUUUAUUGGGUUUAAAGGGUGCGUAGGCGGAUUUUUAAGUCAGCGGUAAAAAGUCCGGGCUCAACCCGGGCCGGCCGUUGAAACUGGGGAUCUUGAGUGGGCGAGAAGUAUGCGGAAUGCGUGGUGUAGCGGUGAAAUGCAUAGAUAUCACGCAGAACUCCGAUUGCGAAGGCAGCUUUCCAAGCUAUUACUGACGCUGAGGCACGAAAGCGUGGGGAGCGAACAGGAUUAGAUACCCCAGUAGUC
This 460-nucleotide ribosomal RNA is filed under the name uncultured bacterium. RNAcentral's name for it is "partial 16S ribosomal RNA". It matches the Rfam family "Bacterial small subunit ribosomal RNA", at positions 338 to 795 of the family's 1533-position model. The record is from RNAcentral.